AAAAUGACUCUCGGCAACGGAUAUCUCGGCUCUCGCAUCGAUGAAGAAACUAGCGAAAUGCGAUACUUGGUGUGAAUUGCAGAAUCCCGUGAACCAUCGAGUCUUUGAACGCAAGUUGCGCCCGAAACCAUUAGGUUGAGGGCACGUCUGCCUGGGUGUCACGC
Molecule: ribosomal RNA, 164 nt
Filed under: Tripodion tetraphyllum
Lineage: Eukaryota; Viridiplantae; Streptophyta; Magnoliopsida; Fabales; Fabaceae
Description: 5.8S ribosomal RNA
Rfam family: 5.8S ribosomal RNA
About the family: 5.8S ribosomal RNA (5.8S rRNA) is a component of the large subunit of the eukaryotic ribosome. It is transcribed by RNA polymerase I as part of the 45S precursor that also contains 18S and 28S rRNA. Functionally, it is thought that 5.8S rRNA may be involved in ribosome translocation.
Source: RNAcentral